UGGUGGANNNNNNNGGUUUAAUUCGAUGCAACGCGAAGAACCUUACCUACUCUUGACAUCCACAGAAUUCGGCAGAGAUGCCUUAGUGCCUUCGGGAACUGUGAGACAGGUGCUGCAUGGCUGUCGUCAGCUCGUGUUGUGAAAUGUUGGGUUAAGUCCCGCAACGAGCGCAACCCUUAUCCUUUGUUGCCAGCACGUAAUGGUGGGAACUCAAAGGAGACUGCCGGUGAUAAACCGGAGGAAGGUGGGGAUGACGUCAAGUCAUCAUGGCCCUUACGAGUAGGGCUACACACGUGCUACAAUGGCGUAUACAAAGAGAAGCGAACUCGCGAGAGCCAGCGGACCUCAUAAAGUACGUCGUAGUCCGGAUCGGAGUCUGCAACUCGACUCCGNGAAGUCNNANUCGC
This 407-nucleotide ribosomal RNA is filed under the name Serratia sp. AZTITEMP197. Its description in RNAcentral is "partial 16S ribosomal RNA". It matches the Rfam family "Bacterial small subunit ribosomal RNA", at positions 930 to 1335 of the family's 1533-position model. The record is from RNAcentral. Lineage: Bacteria; Pseudomonadati; Pseudomonadota; Gammaproteobacteria; Enterobacterales; Yersiniaceae.